CCUAAGGUUCUAUAAAGAACCAUAAAAAAUAAAAAUAAAAAAGGUU
This is a non-coding RNA of Salmo salar (Atlantic salmon), 46 nucleotides long. NCBI's taxonomy places the organism in Eukaryota, Metazoa, Chordata, Actinopteri, Salmoniformes, Salmonidae. The record is from Rfam.